RNAcentral lists this long non-coding RNA (801 nucleotides) under Nicotiana tabacum (common tobacco). RNAcentral describes it as "long non-coding RNA (NTAB_LNC013281)". The record is from RNAcentral. Lineage: Eukaryota; Viridiplantae; Streptophyta; Magnoliopsida; Solanales; Solanaceae.
AACAACAAAAUUUUGCGCUCAUGAUCAUAAAAUUAAGAACUAUACCAUAUUACAAUAAUAUCUCUUACAAACUCCUAAAACUAAAACAUACAAAUAAAGUUUAUCUAAAGCGAAGUCUAAUCAAAAUACAUGAGUAUUGAUUAUAAAAAUAAAAAUAAAAAAGUAUAUUGCUUCUAUAGUAUGUUGCUUCUCCAAAUGCUAAUGUGUGUCUAAUAAUUUUCAUCUUCAUAUGCCUGAGAAUAGGAAAAAAAAAAUUACAAUUUUAGUCCAUACUUAAUGAUCACAUGAUUUAAAAAACAUAUAUUUUAAAUGUUAAUUAUAAAUCAAAUAUUAUUUAAUAAGAAUAAUAGAACGAGAAAUAAGCAGUGAUAAGAUACUUAUUCCAGUUCAUUGGCGGUAACCACAUUUAGAUUAAGAGAUAAAAUUUUGAGCUGUUAACCUCUCAAAAAUUAGAGAACAAUAGACAAAAUUUCUUUAUACCCUUACAAUAAAAUUAAAAUAAAUAAAAACACACUAAUACAUACAUGUCAUAUGCCAUCCGGAGAUACCCAAAUUUUUAAUGCUCUAAAUACAUAUCGAAAGAAAGUAGAGUAGAUUAUAUACCUUGUCUUGAAAUGCCCAUCAUCCCAUAUUGGGUCUUCUAUGGUAUUAAAUCAAGAAAUAAUUUUGGAGAAUAGACACACACAUACAUAGAGAUUGAGAAAGAGAGAGAGAAGCAAUAUAUUGAUAGUGAAAAUGAUAACAGAUUUUACUUGGGCAAGAGUUUGAUUGGGGGUUGAAGAUCUCAUAAAGAGAUAUGAG